GGACUUACCUGGCAGGGAAGACACCAUGAUCUCUAAGGGCUUUUCCCAGGGCGAGCCUCAUCCUUACCCUGAGGAUCUGCUGAGCCCAGCGAUUGCCCCAGUGGGGAAUAAAGUGCAAAACGUGUGUUGGUGGACUGGUGGGGUCGCACUGUCCCU
RNAcentral lists this small nuclear RNA (156 nucleotides) under Dasypus novemcinctus (nine-banded armadillo). RNAcentral's name for it is "U1 spliceosomal RNA (ENSDNOG00000029970.2)". It matches the Rfam family "U1 spliceosomal RNA". From Rfam's summary of the family: U1 is a small nuclear RNA (snRNA) component of the spliceosome (involved in pre-mRNA splicing). Its 5' end forms complementary base pairs with the 5' splice junction, thus defining the 5' donor site of an intron. Lineage: Eukaryota; Metazoa; Chordata; Mammalia; Cingulata; Dasypodidae. The record is from RNAcentral.